RNAcentral lists this ribosomal RNA (446 nucleotides) under uncultured bacterium. RNAcentral's name for it is "partial 16S ribosomal RNA". It matches the Rfam family "Bacterial small subunit ribosomal RNA", at positions 338 to 795 of the family's 1533-position model. The record is from RNAcentral.
CCUACGGGUGGCAGCAGUCGAGAAUCAUUCACAAUGGGGGAAACCCUGAUGGUGCGACGCCGCGUGGGGGAAUGAAGGUCUUCGGAUUGUAAACUCCAGUCACGUGGGAGCAAAUGAAGAAGAUAGAAUCACAAGAGGAAGAGACGGCUAACUCUGUGCCAGCAGCCGUGGUAAUACAGAGGUCUCAAGCGUUGUUCGGAAUCACUGGGCGUAAAGCGUGCGUAGGCUGUUUCGUAAGUCGUGUGUGAAAGGCGCGGGCUCAACCCGCGGACGGCACAUGAUACUGCGAGACUAGAGUGAAGGAGAGGGAACCGGAAUUCUCGGUGUAGCAGUGAAAUGCGUAGAUAUCGAGAGGAACACUCGUGGCGAAGGCGGGUUCCUGGACAUUAACUGACGCUGAGGCACGAAGGCCAGGGGAGCGAAAGGGAUUAGAUACCCUAGUAGUC